RNAcentral lists this ribosomal RNA (251 nucleotides) under Staphylococcus pseudintermedius. RNAcentral's name for it is "partial 23S ribosomal RNA". It matches the Rfam family "Bacterial large subunit ribosomal RNA", at positions 848 to 1097 of the family's 2925-position model. The record is from RNAcentral. Lineage: Bacteria; Bacillati; Bacillota; Bacilli; Caryophanales; Staphylococcaceae.
GCUGGUUCUCUCCGUAAUAGCUUUAGGGCUAUCCUCAAGUGUUGAUUAUUGGAGGUAGAGCACUGUUUGGACGAGGGGCCCCUCUCGGGUUACCGAAUUCAGUCUAACUCCGAAUGCCAUAUAAUUUAACUUGGGAGUCAGAAUGUGGGUGAUAAGGUCCAUAUUCUUAAGGGAAAUAGCCUAGACCACCAGCUCAGGUCCCAAAAUACAUGUUAAGUGGAAAAGGUUGUGGCGUUGUCCAGACAACUAGG